RNAcentral lists this ribosomal RNA (411 nucleotides) under Triticum aestivum (bread wheat). RNAcentral describes it as "partial small subunit ribosomal RNA". Lineage: Eukaryota; Viridiplantae; Streptophyta; Magnoliopsida; Poales; Poaceae. The record is from RNAcentral.
AUGACCAGAGAUAAUCUUAGGAAAAGACAUAUCAUCAAACCCCUUGAGUGUGUCUACUGUUUGGAGCAAGAUUCUUGCUCCCACCUUUUCUUUGAUUGCAUUGUUGCCAAACACCUCUAGGUUCCUGUUGUAGAUCACUUCAAUACUCAGAUCGGCUUUUCCUUUGAAUCUGUAGCUAGAUUCUGGAUUGCUAACAAAAACUACUCUGUCUUGAAUACUGUUAGCUCAGCUGUCCUUUGGUGUGUCUGGAAAUAUAGAAAUGCUAUGAUUUUCAAUAACACUACUUGGAUUUAUGUUGCUCAGGUCCUAAGAUUGAUCAUGAACACAGUGAGGAACUGGGCGAUUCUCUCCUCGGGAUCAGACAAGGAAAAACUGAUGUCCUUCGUGGGGUUCCUCACAAAGUACCUUUAG